AUUGAACGCUGGCGGCAUGCUUUACACAUGCAAGUCGAACGGCAGCACGGGUGCUUGCACCUGGUGGCGAGUGGCGAACGGGUGAGUAAUACAUCGGAACAUGUCCUGUAGUGGGGGAUAGCCCGGCGAAAGCCGGAUUAAUACCGCAUACGAUCUACGGAUGAAAGCGGGGGACCUUCGGGCCUCGCGCUAUAGGGUUGGCCGAUGGCUGAUUAGCUAGUUGGUGGGGUAAAGGCCUACCAAGGCGACGAUCAGUAGCUGGUCUGAGAGGACGACCAGCCACACUGGGACUGAGACACGGCCCAGACUCCUACGGGAGGCAGCAGUGGGGAAUUUUGGACAAUGGGCGAAAGCCUGAUCCAGCAAUGCCGCGUGUGUGAAGAAGGCCUUCGGGUUGUAAAGCACUUUUGUCCGGAAAGAAAUCCUUGGCUCUAAUACAGUCGGGGGAUGACGGUACCGGAAGAAUAAGCACCGGCUAACUACGUG
RNAcentral lists this ribosomal RNA (486 nucleotides) under uncultured bacterium. Its description in RNAcentral is "partial 16S ribosomal RNA". It matches the Rfam family "Bacterial small subunit ribosomal RNA", at positions 30 to 507 of the family's 1533-position model. The record is from RNAcentral.